GUUGUGGCUCAGUGGUAGAGUGCUUGCCUUGCAUGCAUGAGGCACUGGGUUCAAUCCUCAGCACAACA
This 68-nucleotide transfer RNA is filed under the name Urocitellus parryii (Arctic ground squirrel). RNAcentral describes it as "Spermophilus parryii (Arctic ground squirrel) tRNA". It matches the Rfam family "tRNA". From Rfam's summary of the family: Transfer RNA (tRNA) molecules are approximately 80 nucleotides in length. The record is from Rfam by way of RNAcentral. Lineage: Eukaryota; Metazoa; Chordata; Mammalia; Rodentia; Sciuridae. RNAcentral also lists the same sequence under 2 other names.